This 1886-nucleotide long non-coding RNA is filed under the name Homo sapiens (human). Its description in RNAcentral is "non-protein coding lnc-MRPL37-1:6". Lineage: Eukaryota; Metazoa; Chordata; Mammalia; Primates; Hominidae. The record is from RNAcentral.
UUCUCCUGUCUCUGAGACCCAGCACAACGUGAGGCAUACAGCAGGUGUAUUAGCAGGAUCUAGAAUACGGCAAACAGGCCUUAAACAGGGUGAUGAGGCCCAUUCCAGCCAGGUGCCUCCUCUAAACCUACAGUCAACUUGAAAAGCCCGAAGUGCUUUCCCAGAGCACUGCCUGAAGUUUGCCGUUCACAGCCAGGGAGACUUGUGAAGAGGACUGAUCCCACAGCUCCAUCUCUAAAGAGCAGGGUUUCUUGAUGAUCCCAGGAUGGGUACACAGCCAUGGGGCUCAGGGACUACCCCUGCCUCUGCCCUAUCCAUGCUCCAACGGGACAGACACAUGCCACUGCAACCAGAGAUCCUCAGCAAUCCCACUCCGUAAGGACACCUGAAAACCUCACCACCAGUCCCACCCUAGGAGAUGGAUAUUCCCCCUCUAACCUCCAGGGUGGAGAAGCAGGGUUCAAACAGGGGGCCUCAGAGCGGUGCUUCCAAGAGAAAGCGCCUUGGAAGCCAGGCUAAGGAAUGGAACUUUCUGCUCUGGGCAAUGGCGGAGCGGGGGGACAUCUACUGCCCCACCUCACCCUGUGCCGGGCAUAGGGACCUUUCAUGCUCACUCAACAAAUCCCAAUACCACCAGAGUACCCCAAAUUCCAGGAGCAAGUGGACUUGACGAGUCCCCACAUUCCCAGAGGCCUCUCAUCCCACCCUGAGAGAGAAGCAUCUCAGAGUAGGCAACAGUGUUGAUGCUUUUCCUUCAAGAAGCAAUGGUCCAGGGGCAUUCCCUGCAAGAUACUAUCUUCUGGCCUCAUUUCAAGAACCCCAGCUAUCCUCACUCACAAACUAGCCUGAGACCCCCGCUCCAACCCUCUCUUUAAAAUUAGUUCUAGGCACAGGAAGCUCCUGGAAAACUGAAUAAAAACAAAUGCUCAGAGGGAAAUGUGGGACUCCUGCCAGGUCGGCCAACCCCUCCUGACUGAUUUACAAGGCUGCAAAAUGGUACUUUGUUCUGCAAAUCCCCUCCCCUCCUUGCCCCGCCCUAAUACUCAGGCCUUGGCGUGCAGCAGCUUGGGGGCCACAUGCAGAACCGCAUGUGCAGACGACUUCCUUGACUGAAACUCAACACAGGCUGCGUGGCCCAGGGCCCAAAACACCAGGGGGUGGGAGGUGUGUGCUGAGGGUGGAGCCAUGUGCUCAAAGCUGGGAAAUGGAGGUCACUCAAGGGAGCUUGGGGCACUCCUGUGAUGACUACAUACAGAGGGCAAGUGAGACAGGAAGCCUCCAAGUGACGCCUGUCUGGUGGCCUGGGGAAGGAGGGAGGGAGGGAUGCUGGCACUGGUUUCAGCAAGACAGGGGCUUCUGUGCAAACUAUGGAGUAACCCGGGUCCCUCUGGGGCCAGGUUUCCCAGAGGGAAUUUCAGCAGCAACAACAAACUAAAGAUAUAAAUCAGGAAUGGAAGCGACCGGGGGAAUGUCAUCACCCAGAUGGAAAGGCCAAGACAGACAGAACUGGGGUUCAAAGAAGGGAAGGGGACAGGAAGAGGAUUCCUGGUUUCAUAUGCAGACCACAGAACAGAAUCAGUUUUGGAGAACAGGGGCUCUAAUUGUGCAGUUUAGAGAAAACAGAGCUGUUGCUACGUGAAGAGGCAGAACCAGCUGACGUUAAAAAUAGGUUUGGAUGACACACAGGAGUGACACAAGAUCCCUGCCUUCAAAUAGUCAGGGGGCCAUCGUGUGGGAGGAGGGAUGGAUGUGUCUCCCGGCACCAAUGGACGGCCCUGGGUCCAACAGUAGAUGCCCCAAGCUACAAAAAGCUUCUUGGCUGCCUCAGAAGGGGGCGGGCUGUGAUAAUUUGGGGUCGCUCCCAGCGGAGACAUGGCACAAACCAU